UUAUUUUAAGCCUUCUGAAUACAUCUUUAGACAUGCUUAUUUCUAGAUUUCUACAAACUUAAUUCAAGAAAUCUUGUCAAGUGAAAUGAUCUUGCUGCAUGGAAAGAUCAUUUCACUUUUUACCUUUUUUGUUAUUUACCUUUUCCCUCAGAUUUAGUGUUU
Molecule: long non-coding RNA, 162 nt
Organism: Toxotes jaculatrix (banded archerfish)
Lineage: Eukaryota; Metazoa; Chordata; Actinopteri; Toxotidae
Exons: 4
Source: RefSeq, a predicted model, not a curated record